Molecule: long non-coding RNA, 470 nt
Organism: Perca fluviatilis (European perch)
Lineage: Eukaryota; Metazoa; Chordata; Actinopteri; Perciformes; Percidae
Exons: 3
Source: RefSeq, a predicted model, not a curated record
GCGGUCUUGGCAUCUGACAGCCUCAAAGAUGUUGAAAAGAUUUCAACUGAGGCAGAGGGUUACCAAGCGGUCUUGGCAUCUGACAGCCUCAAAGAUGUUGAAAAGAGGAUCAUCAUGGUACCGUGAUAAUCUGACAGCUUUAAAGAUGUUGAAAAGGUGACUUAAUCUCUAUUUAAUUUUGAUAUUGACAUCAGAUCUUUUUGGUUGCAAAGCAGUUUUUACCAGAUGUUGAUAUUUGAGUGAGGGUUAUGGAUACACAGUCCUCAGUGUACAUGUACUGGUCAGUUGUAGACACUUUGAGGACAGUGUAUUUGGACAUUAUCCCUCCAUAGUAAGAUUAUUGAAAAAUGUAUAUAUGCUGUUAGUAUUUAGUAUUAUUAGUAGUAUCAGCAUUUCUCUAUAAUAUUAGUUCCACAAAAAUUUAAGUGGAAAAAAAUCACUUCAAUUCUGUUUAAAUCAAUACUUUUAAA